RNAcentral lists this ribosomal RNA (439 nucleotides) under uncultured bacterium. RNAcentral describes it as "partial 16S ribosomal RNA". It matches the Rfam family "Bacterial small subunit ribosomal RNA", at positions 339 to 795 of the family's 1533-position model. The record is from RNAcentral.
CUACGGGCCGCUGCAGUGAGGAAUAUUGCACAAUGGGGGGAACCCUGAUGCAGCAACGCCGCGUGGAGGAUGACGCAUUUCGGUGUGUAAACUCCUUUUAUAUGUCAAGAAAAUGACGGUAGCAUAUGAAUAAGCACCGGCUAACUCCGUGCCAGCAGCCGCGGUAAAACGGAGGGUGCAAGCGUUACGCGGAAUCACUGGGCGUAAAGGACGCGUAGGCGGGUUGGAAAGUCAGGUGUGAAAUCCUACAGCUUAACUGUAGAACUGCACUUGAAACUUCUAAUCUAGAGUAUGGGAGGGGGAGAUGGAAUUAGUGGUGUAGGGGUAAAAUCCGUAGAUAUCACUAGGAAUACCUAAAGCGAAGGCGAUCUCCUGGAACAUUACUGACGCUAAGGCGUGAAAGCGUGGGGAGCAAACAGGAUUAGAUACCCCCGUAGUC